GAGGAUAUAGCUCAGUGGUAGAGCCCUGUUUAGCACACACGAGGUUCUAGGUUCAACCCCCAGAACCUCC
This 70-nucleotide transfer RNA is filed under the name Camelus bactrianus (Bactrian camel). It matches the Rfam family "tRNA". From Rfam's summary of the family: Transfer RNA (tRNA) molecules are approximately 80 nucleotides in length. Their secondary structure includes four short double-helical elements and three loops (D, anti-codon, and T loops). Further hydrogen bonds mediate the characteristic L-shaped molecular structure. tRNAs have two regions of fundamental functional importance: the anti-codon, which is responsible for specific mRNA codon recognition, and the 3' end, to which the tRNAs corresponding amino acid is attached (by aminoacyl-tRNA synthetases). tRNAs cope with the degeneracy of the genetic code in two manners: having more than one tRNA (with a specific anti-codon) for a particular amino acid; and 'wobble' base-pairing, i.e. permitting non-standard base-pairing at the 3rd anti-codon position. RNAcentral also lists the same sequence under 2 other names. The record is from Rfam by way of RNAcentral. Lineage: Eukaryota; Metazoa; Chordata; Mammalia; Artiodactyla; Camelidae.